Molecule: ribosomal RNA, 253 nt
Filed under: uncultured bacterium
Lineage: Bacteria
Description: partial 16S ribosomal RNA
Rfam family: Bacterial small subunit ribosomal RNA
Source: RNAcentral
UACGUAGGGCGCAAGCGUUGUCCGGAAUUAUUGGGCGUAAAGAGCUCGUAGGCGGUUUGUCGCGUCUGCUGUGAAAGCCCGGGGCUCAACCCCGGGUCUGCAGUGGGUACGGGCAGACUAGAGUGCAGUAGGGGAGACUGGAAUUCCUGGUGUAGCUGUGAAAUGCGCAGAUAUCAGGAGGAACACCGAUGGCGAAGGCAGGUCUCUGGGCUGUUACUGACGCUGAGGAGCGAAAGCAUGGGGAGCGAACAGG